Molecule: ribosomal RNA, 95 nt
Filed under: Salvator merianae (Argentine black and white tegu)
Lineage: Eukaryota; Metazoa; Chordata; Lepidosauria; Squamata; Teiidae
Source: RNAcentral
UUCACCAGUCUUGUCUGAUUUCAGAAAUGAAGAAAGAUUGAGUCUGAUUAAUACUUGGAUGGGAGACCCCCUGGGAACACCAAGUGCUGUUAGCU